AUGGGAAGAGACCUUAUAAGGUCGCUGCGGGGAUGGGGGCCGGAAAUCUCCUCCCCAAUAUCCUUCGAUGCUCCUGGCCCUCCUUGAUGACGUAAUCAUCGCGAGGCGAAAGAUCUCGUUUUCCCUGACAGCUGACUUCCUCUGGCGCAAUUCAUCCAGAGGCGCUGGAGGGUUCUCGGGCCCAGAGGGCCUGCCAAAAAGGCAGUCAGACAGUUGGUUUAUGAGUCAUUCUGUCUCUGUCUCUCCUCUCUUUUUUUUUUUUGAGACGGAGUUUCGCUCUUGUUGCCCAGGCUGGAGUGCAGUGGCGCAAUCUCGGCUCACCGUAACCUCCGCCUCCCAGGUUCAAGCGAUUCUCCUGCCUCAGCCUCCCUAGUAGCUGGGAUUACAGGCAUGUGCCACCACGUCCGGCUAAUUUUGUAUUUUUCGUAGAGACGGGGUUUCUCCAUGUUGGUCAGGCUGGUCUCGAACUCCUGACCUCAGGUGGUCCGCCCUCCUCGGCCUCCCAAAGUGUUGGGAUUAUAGGCGGGAGCCACUGCGCCCGGCCCAUUCUGCCUCUCUUACUGCCAAGUAUCCUAGAGCCAUCUUCCGGCUGCAGGGAAUGUGAACUGAAGAGAAAGGUGUCCUCUCUUCUCAUAAAGAGACCCAAAGACGAAUGCCCCGCAGGUAAAACCAGUCACAUUUUGCCUUCCCUGUUGGCCCAUUUCCUCAACCAAACAAAUUAAUAGUUUCACCAUUUAUAAGAAAGUAAUGACAACCGAACCGUUUCUCAGGCUGUGCGAAUCGAACAGUGCGCGUUGGCGCUUUGCAUUAAUUAUAAUUAACAUUCUUUGAGCGCUUUCUCUGUGCCGGGAAUUAUGCCAAAGGCUUUUUAAACAUGAGCUCAUUCAGUUUCCAAAAUUCCUAUUAAGUACCUGCCUAAGAACUACAAUUCGGAGUUGCUGCCUAGUGAAGUUGAGGGGGUCGGUGGAGCCCCGCUGGGAGGCCAAGGGCUCAAUCUGUUGAGCCCUUCUAUGAUGCUACAUAUUUCAUCGUAUGACAAGGAGUGGCCAGAGGCAAUUCUUGAAUUCUGUGGGAGGUUGCAGUAUAUGACUAGGAAACAAAUGUAAUGACUGAGUUCUGCUUUCUAUGUAUGCAACUCACCCUAAAAACGUUUUGUAAGGUAGCUGGUUGAAGAUAUUUGGAAUGUCUAACAAGUUGGCUGACUAAUGUCAUGAAAACUGUACAAUUGUGUUGGAGCCAGUCUUUUUUUUUUUUUUUUUUCCUUGAGACGGAGUUUCGCUCUUUCAUUCAGGCUGGAGUGAAGUGGCGCGGUCUCGGCUCACUGCAACCUCCGCCCUCUGGGUUCAAACGAUUGAUUCUCCUGCCUCAGCCUCCCGAGUAGCUGGGAUUACAGGCGCCUGCCACCACGCUCGGCUAAUUUUUGUAUUUUUAGUAGAGAUGGGGUUUCACCAUGUUGUCCAGGCUGGUCCCAAACUCUUGACCUCAGGUGAUCCACUCGUUCUCCCAAAGUGCUAGGAUUACAGGCGUGAGCCACCGCGCCGGGCCUGGAACCAGUCUUAAGAAUGAUGUUAGGUGGCCAGUCAUGGCGGCUCAUGCCUGUAAUUACGGCACUUUGGGAGGCCGAGGUGGGCGGAUCACCUGAGGUUAGGAGUUCCAGCCCAGCCUGGUCAAAAUGGUGAAACCCCUUCUCUACUAAAAAUACAAAAAUUAGCUGGGCGUGGUGGCGCACGCCUGUAAUCCCAGCUCCUCGGGAGGCUGCGGGAGGAGAAUCGCUUGAACCCGGGAGGCAGAGGUUGCAUUUAGCCAAGAUCGCGCCACUACACUCCAGCCUGGGCAAGAAGAGCAAAACUCCAUAUCAAAAAAAAAAAAAAAAAGGAGGCCGGGUGCAGCGGCUCACGUCUGUAAUCCCGGCACUGUGGAAUGCCGAGGCGGGCGGAUCACGAGGUCAGGAGUUUGAGACCAGCCUGGGUAACACGAUGAAACCCCGCCUCUACAAAAAAAAAAAAAAAUUAGCCUGGUGUGGUGGUGCGCGCCUGUAGUCCCACCUACUCGGGAGGCUGAGGCAGGAAAAUCGCUUGAACCCGGGAAGCGGAGGUUGCAGAGAGCCAAGAUCGCACCACUGCACUCCAGCCUGGGCGACAGAGCGAGACUCCGUGUGAAAACAAACAAACAACAACAACAAAAAACCAAAACAAAACAUCUUUCAGAAAUAGUCCUGGCUUCUACAAGAUCCAAGGCACAGCUGAGUUUAGGUAGCCGGUGGAACCAAGAUCCACCUGAAGGAAUGCAGUCCUUUUUUGUUCCACAGAACCUCAGAAUUUAUAGUCCCUUCCCAAUAUUUUAGAAAGAUUUUGUUUUAUUGUUCUUUAAAAUUACGUUUGGCCUGACUGGUUCUGUGGAAGAAAUGCAGGAAACUGGACCUUAGGGAUUUUGGCUGUAUUUCACUCUUUACUGGAGGGCCUUCUUGUCAGGGUUCCUUGUAACACACUCCCAUAACAAACAAAUUGUGCUCAAAAUGCUCUUAGAAUAGGGAGAAAUUUUGCAGAGAGAGACCUCUAAAUGAAUUUAUAUUAUACAGUGUCAUAAAGUAGAGCUUCUGACACCAUCCGUAAAUUAUUGCUGACUUUAUCCAUGCUUUUGCUUUUAUCAUAGGCAAAAGGUUCAGCUACACUCUAUUCUCUUUUUAUUCAUUUAUGGAGCAAUACUGAACCAAACUUGGUGCCCUUUUCAGCCUCUGUCCCUGUGAGAACAGUGUGUUGCUUCCCUUCACAGUUUCGUCACCCAUUUGUACAUAUUUCCCUGCUAUAUUAGUUUCCUGUAGUUGCUGUAACAAAUUACUAUGGACUUGGUAACAACACAGAUACAUAUUUUCUCACAGUUCUGGAGGCAGUAAGUUCAAAAUCAGUAUCACUAGGCUGAAAUCAAGGUAUCUUUGUGCUCUCUGGAUCAAGGAUCUAAGGCAGAACGUGUUCCUUGCUCUUCCAAUUUCCACUCAUCUAAACCACUCUUGAAUUCCUAACCCAUAGAAACUGUUAGAUCAUAAAUGUGUGUUGUUUUAAACUGUUUAGGGGAGUAAUUUGUUAAUAUAGAAAUAGGUAAUAUAGGAGGUAAGGAAAAAUUGACAAUGAGGACUUGGUGAAUCGUGGUAUCAUUUGUCAAGAGUUGACAGAUAAGAGGAAGGGAGUAGGUUUGUCAGGGAAAGGGUUAAUUUUUUUUUUUUGGAGACUUGUUGCCCAGGCUGGAGUACAAUGGCAUGAUCUUGGCUCACCACAACUUCCGCCUCCUGGGUUCAAGUGAUUUUGCUGCCUCAGCCUCCCGAGUAGCUGGGAUUACAGGCAUGUGCCACCACACCCAGCUAAUUUUGUAUUUUUAGUAGAGAUGGGAUUUCUCCAUAUUGGUCAGGCUGGUCUCGAACUCCUGACCUCAGGUGAUCCACCCGCCUCGGCCUCCCAAAGUGCUGGGAUUAUAGGCAUGAACCGCUGCGCUCAGCCCGAAAGGGUUAAUUUUGAAAAGGCUGGGUUCAAGAUGCUGAUAGGGAUAUUAAGGUACAACUGUGUAGUGGGAAGUUAAACAUGUUCAGAAGAGUGUUUGUAAUAUGAUUUAUUUUAUGUUUUAAUUUUUUUUUGAGAUAGGGCCUCACCUUGUCUCCCAGGCUGAAGUGCAGUGGAUGAUCAGGGUUCACUGCAGUCCCUACCUCCUGGGCUCAAGUGAUCAUCCCACCUCAGCCCCAUGAAUAGCUGGGACUAUAGGUGUUUGCCACCAUGGCCAGCUAAUUUUUUGUAUUUUUGGUGGAGAUGGGGUUUCACCAUGUUGCCUUGGCAGGUCUUGAACUGGACUCAAGCGAGCAGCCCACCUCAGCCUUCCAAAGUGCUGGGAUCACAAGCGUGAGCCACCAUGUCCAGCCAAGGAUAUAUUUUAGUAGUAAUGAACUUAUGGUGACAGAAUAUGUGGGAUAACGUCACCUACUGUCACAAGCUGGCUUCUCUGGAAACAGUUACUGAGACUGACUUUGGGGUUCAAGAUAUUUGUUACAGAUCAAGUCUUGUGAAGGGAAGGGGGAGAAAACAGUGUUAGGCAGAGGAAGAAGUUGCAUAUGUUAUAGGCCCAACUAAACCUCAGUCAGGCCGUGUGUGGUGGCUUAUGCCUGUAAUGCCAGCACUUUGGGAGGCCAAGGUGGGAGGAUUGCUUGAGCACAGGAGUUUGAGGCUGAAGUGAGCUAUGAUCGCACCACUGCAAUCAAUCAAUCAAUAAACUUCAGUCAACCCUGCCAGGAGCUAUGGAACAAUUAUUGUUUGUUGGAGUGUUCUGUGUUGGGCUAAAUGUGAAGCCUCUUUAUACUUCUACCUUACUCAGUCACCAUAUGGGGGCUGCCCCAGAGAGGUCAUGACCUCAAGUGAGGAAGUACUCAGCAGCUGAGCCAGGCCCUACUGAUAGCUGGAGGAUGCUGCUGCCCAUGCUGCCCACUGUGAGGCAGCAAGCCCUUGCUUGAAGGGGGAUCUGGAUAGUAUGUUUCUGUGUCUACCACCCCUAGAAAUGGUGCCUAGAGUGAGUCAUCACAAAAAGAAUCAGGAUAGCUUGGUGUAGUGGCAGGUGCCUAUAAUCCCAGCUACUCAGGAGACUGUGGCAGGAGAAUGACUUAAACCAGGGAGUUGGAGGUUGCAGUGAGGUGAGGUCACACAACUGCACUCCAGACUGGGUGACAGAGUGAGACUCCAUCUCAAAAAAAAAAAAAAAAGAAAAGAAAAGAAAAAAGAAAAAGAAUCAGGAAAUACUAAUAUUUAAAGGAUAGGUGAAUGGAGGAAAAUAAUCAAUUGAAGGAGGCUGAGCAGAUGAGGUCAAAGAAGAUAGAGAUCCAUAACAGUAACCUCAUAGAAGCUUAUGGAAGCAUUUUGACAGUGCUAAAAGCCACAUAAAGUUCAAGUAAGACAGUUUCAGAAAUGUAUAAACAUGAAUGCCUUUGCAGUGACUUAAGUGUGAUUCUGUUGUUUCCUUCUAAAAAUACUGCCUUCUCAGGUGUGGGAAGGAUUCUAUCUUUUUAGGCUUUACCACCAUAGUUCUCUGCAGGCUUGCAAUCCUGAAUCAGGCUUGACUUCAGAAAGUGCUUUAAAAGGGAGGCUGGGCGCGGUGGCUCAUGCCUGUAAUCCCAGCACUCUGAGAGGCUGAGGUUGUGGGGAAAAGCAAGAGAGAUCAGAUUGUUACUGUGUCUGUGUAGAAAGAAGUAGACAUAGGAGACUCCAUUUUGUUCUGUACUAAGAAAAAUUCUUCUGCCUUGAGAUUCUGUUAAUCUAUGACCUUACCCCCAACCCCGUGCUCUCUGAAACAGGUGCUGUGUCAAACUCAGGGUUAAAUGGAUUAAGGGUUGUGCAAGAUGUGCUUUGUUAAACAAAUGCUUGAAGGCAGCAUGGUCCUUAAGAGUCAUCACCACUCCCUAAUCUCAAGUACCCAGGGACACAAACACUGCGGAAGGCCGCAGAGACCUCUGCCUAGGAAAGCAAGGUAUUGUCCAAGGUUUCUCCCCAUGUGAUAGUCUGAAAUAUGGCCUCGUGGGAAGGGAAAGACCUGACCGUCCCCCAGCCUGACACCCGUAAAGGGUCUGUGCUGAGGAGGAUUAGUGUAAGAGGAAGGCAUGCCUCUUGCAGUUGAGACAAGAGGAAGGCAUCUGUCUCCUGCCCGUCCCUGGGCAAUGGAAUGUCUCGGUAUAAAACCCGAUUGAUUGUACGUUCCAUCUACUGAGAUAGGAAGAAAACGCCUUAGGGCUGGAGGUGUGGGACAAGCCGGCAGCAAUACUGCUUUGUAAAGCAUUGAGAUGUUUA
This 5813-nucleotide long non-coding RNA is filed under the name Homo sapiens (human). Its description in RNAcentral is "non-protein coding lnc-CEP97-8:1". Lineage: Eukaryota; Metazoa; Chordata; Mammalia; Primates; Hominidae. The record is from RNAcentral.